Long non-coding RNA from Parus major (Great Tit), 10081 nucleotides. RefSeq lists it as uncharacterized. The record is from RefSeq and is a predicted model, not a curated record. NCBI's taxonomy places the organism in Eukaryota, Metazoa, Chordata, Aves, Passeriformes, Paridae. The transcript is spliced from 2 exons.
UCCGCGGGGCCGACUUGGGGCGGCCCCGAAGGGCCGGGAGAUCCCCGGGGCGGGAGGGACGCGACCCACCCAGGGCUUAGCCCUCGCUGCUUUCCACCCGCGGCCCGCUCCCCAGAGACCCCUUGGAGGCGCACGCUGUGAGGCGGGGGAGGCCUGCCUUCUGCCGCGGCCGUCAGCGCUGCUUUCCCGGUGCCCGCUGUCCCGGCCUGGGCACGGAGCAGAGGGCAGCCCGCGGGGAAAAGGCUCCCCGGGGUGGUGGCAGGCAGCGGCUGGCCGGGCCGGGCCGGGCCGGGCCGGGCUGUGAGGCACCUGCCUGGAGCUAGCAUCAAAUUCGUGCAGACUUGGAAACAAAAGCUGUGGAGCCAUCAGCAGCUGAACUGAGAAGCAGGACUGGGAACCCAGAUGCAAAGCCACAUGAAAUCAACUGCACAGCUUCCAGUUUCAGAGCCAGCCUCUCCAGCCAUAACCUGGGUCUCUUCCUGCACUGCUUCUGUGUGUAGCAUAGACAGGCACACUGUGGAAAUGAUGUGGUAAAGGGCUUGUGAAGCCAAGUGGAACCAUCAGUCUGGGAAUAUUCUGUGUGGCUCAGUUCUGAUUCCUGGGAAAAAAACCUUUCAAUAGAUAAUCUGUCAGGGAAGUUGUGUGCACAAGUGGUUGGUGUAUCAGGAGGCUAUUCAAGAAGAGAGUGGAGUAAACAAACAGUUUUUCUGAGAAGUUUAUGUAAGUGGACAGAGAGAAAGCUUGAAUCUCAGAAAAAUUGUCAGAGGAGAAAACACUGGGUGUACAGUUGGAUGAUAAAGAUUGCUAGUUUUGGAGUGAACAUUGUAUCACAGGGAUGGUUCAUGUAUUGCUGAGUCUAGGAUUUAAAACUGGGUAAGUAUGAGUGGAGGAAUGAUUCCUGUCAGAGAAACAGCUGUUGAUUGUGCUUGUUUGCUGUCAAAAUAUGGAAAAAUGCUGAAUGAACGUUCAACUGAUUGCUCAAUAAAAACACAAUUCUAGACAACUGCCAGAUUUGGCUCUGUGCCCUAAAUGAAUAUCCAGAUAUAGGAUACACAGCACUAAGCACGUUCAUUUUUGGAUAACAGAUUUGUGUGUAACAUCCUCUGCAAUGGCUUUAAUCAUAAGAAAACAUAGAAACUAAUUACAUUUUGAGAACAUUUUGAUAACUGUGUGUUGAAAACAGUGAAUGAAAAGAUGCUUCUGUGUACUGCAGGGGAUUGCAAAGUUCUCAUUAGAAUAUAUAAUUACAAAAUCAUAAUUAAGCUAGUAUGUUACUAAAAUAGAAAGCAUUUCACUUACAAUUUUUUUUUUCUUUAAAUAAUUUGGUCAAAACAAUCUGAAAUGUAGCUUUUAAUCUUUAUUACAUAAUAAAUGAAUGCAAUAUUUAUAGGAUUCGUAGAAGAUUGGUUAAAAGCUACUUUUCCUCAUAUGACAAAUAAUGCUAAUUUUUUAGUUGUUUGGGAAUUGCAAAGCAAAUGGGGGAAAAUUAAAAAAUCAUGUACAGAGAAUAAAUGAGAGAUAUCAAAAUACAGCAGUAGAAUUUAAAAGGUCAGCUUCCUCUUGUCAGCAGAGGCUCUCUAAAGGCUGUUCAAGAUGAGGAACUCAAUGCUGUAGCUACCUUCAGCUUGCAUGGUAUUUUGCAAAAUAAGCAUGGUAUUGAUGCAAAAACAAGGAACUGGCUUUUUUUAACACACAGCAUGCUAACAGUGAUAUAGGGAAACCUUCAUACCAUUGCUGUAGUCAGUGGUUUCAGACACAGCCACAGGAAUUUCAGUUUAGAUGCCCUGAGUUUAAAUAAGGGACUUUCAGGAAGUGUCAAAGUGGCUAGAGAUGGGAUUAAAUGAAUGGACACGGGUUAGGUGUUGGAACUGUGCAAGUAAAGAUGGAAACAGAAUUAAUGUAAGGAGAUCAAUUAUUGAGGAGUUGUAGUUAUAGAGGGAGAGGAAAUGAUCCAAAGGUGGAAGCACAUUCAAAAGCAAAAAGGGAAGCAGAGAAGCCACUAGAGGACUGCAAUGCAGGCUUGCAGAAAAAACUGAGACUUUUAAAUACAGCAUUUUAAUUAUCCUUCCAAAAAAAAAGAAGAAACAAGGAUAUAGAAGAAAUAUAUUCCAUAGGAUGUUGGAACAGAGCUCCAAUAGUCAGUUAGAAAUACUGAGAAAGACAUAUUCUGCAGAAAAAACUGCAUUUGGUUUUUCUUUUCUUUACAUAAGAAAGAACUGCAAGUGUCAAGGGCACAGCACAUGUGCUUUUAGUUGAUAUUAGUGUUCAUCAAAUGAAAGGCAAUGAGGGAAGGAGAUAUAAAAAAAUAAUUCUGAGUCUCUUGGCUAGGAUUUAAGAAAGUAAUCUACUUGAAGAUUUGUUUAAAAAUUCUAAUGCCAAGAGAAACUACAGGAAAUAAAUUUGCAUAAACUGUCAUUGCUCUUUAACAAGUUCCUAUGUAUCAAAACUUAAUAUCAAAAUGCAGUAAUACUUAAUAAUCAUGUCAACAUCUAACAGUUUCAGUUCUCGCCCUUUUUUGGAAAGUCAUCAAUUGAAACUAAUUACACUUUCCCCAGUACAACAGCAGAACUUUUUGAGCAAGUUCUCCUAGGCAGUGAUGAGAAUGAAUCCUGUUUACAGGGUAUUGGGUGGACUCUUCUGUGGAGUCUCUGGAAAUAGUUUUCUCCAGGUUGUUCUCUGGCCCUUUCAUGGGAGGGGUGGGGCCCUGUGUCUCUGGCCACAGCUGCACCCACGUUGAAAUGUCACCCUCCUCUCAGUGAUGGCAAGAGCCUGGUCCUGCUAACACCCAGCAGUGGUCAGAUGAUUUCUACCUUGGGGCCUUCUGCCCUGGCUGUUGGAAGGAUAUUCCAUAGCCCAGCAGAUCAGACCUUAAUGCUAAGCAUUUUCAUAUACUGAAAUCACAUUUUGUUUCAUCCUAGGUUGCAUUUAACAUUUACAGUUCUCUUAUGCUGUGCACUGAAUGCCAUAGAUCAUAGAAUUGUAGAAUUGUCAAGGUUGGAAAAAGCCUCUAAAAACAUUGAGUCCAGUUGUUAACCCAGGACUGCCAUGUUCACUACUAAACAAUGUCCCCAAGUGCCACAUCUACACAUCUUUCCAACAACUUCCCUGGGCAGCCUGCUUUCCUGAAUAGCACCAUACACUGAUGUUUCCACCAGAAAUCUCUGUUAAUCUUUUGAGCUUCACAAGUUUAGGAUACACUACACUUGGUAACUUGUUUCUGAAUGAAUUCUAAUAUUCUGUGGAAUUUAUAUGAAGGAAAACACAGUACUUGAAAUAUAAACUGGCUGGUGCCAGAUGGAGCAAGGCCACUGCAUGUACUGAUGGGUCAGCCUGAGUAUUCAGGUCAAAUGCCCCACAACUUUUUCACUUGAGUUUUAGCAAUAUCAAGUGAGAUUUCCACAAACAAUUUUAUAACCCAUACCAAUUCCAUGGUUUACUUUGGAGUAUCUUCUCUCUUGUGUUAUUUGCCUGCAUUUUUCUGAGGUCAGGAAUGGUUUAUUUUAUCUAGUUUAUCUGGAGCUCUGCUUUUUUUCUGCUGAAUAUUUUUACACAAUUUGGAUAUAAUUUCCAAGAUUAAUUAAUGUGUUGUUUGAUUUUUCUUCUGAAAUACAAAUGAAAAUUGUUGAGACCAAACCUAAAAACAACAGUUAAAAUAUUCAACUAGAUGCUUUUUCCUCACUUUCUAUGUUACAAUUUAUCAUUGUCUUUUGUGUAAACUAUCUUUCUCAAUCUUCUGUUUGAUUACGUAGUAUAAGAUUUACUAUUCUUUUUAAAAUGACAGUAUAUCCUUCUGAGAGCUGGGAAGCACAGAAAUACAAUAAAUCCAUAUGGAUUUAUUCUACAGCAUGUGACUGAUGGAUCAAAUGAGCACUCAGCUCUCAUAAUGAGCUUGAAAGGAGGAGAGAGAGACAGAGAAGUGUGGUGUGACAAGACUGAAGGAAAGAGAAGAAAAACCUUUUGGGAUUCAACCCUGUUUUUCUCUCUCCUUUGCUCUUUAGUGUUUGUCAAGGACGUAAACAGUCAUGUAUGCCCUGAGGCCAGAGCUUAAAGAACAUGAGUCCUGUACUGGUUUGUUAUAGGACUGACACAAGAUAUCCCCACCACUGUGGUUGCAAACACAUUAAAAAAAAACCCUGCCCCCUCCCAAAGAAAAGGAGAAAAAAAACGCAACUUUGUUGAGAUUUGAAGGUGAAUUAAAACAUAAGUCUCAUUUAUUUACUCGUUUUCCUGAAAAUGCACAUCUGUUAACAGAAAUGUUUUAAAAGCUUUGUGUACAUCUUUGGUGUCAGUCAACAAUGAAGUUUCUAAAGCACAGAGUACAAAAGCAUGUAAUGUAGAUAAUCUCAAAUCUAUGAUAUUUUUGUUUUUGAAUAUGUUAAUAGGAGGUUUUAGUACAAACAACUGUAUGUUAUUUUUUAUUUAAGUUGUAGUAUUUUAUUUUUAGUUAGAAUAUGAAAAUCACUAAAAUAUCCUGAUCGUCUUUCAUUGAUUCUUUCCAAAGCUUCUGUUAACUUUACGACCUCAAAUGUUAAAAAAAUGCAUUCCUGUGAAAUUUAAAUCAUAUUGCACAAUUUCAGUACUGUCAGGUCGUUUGUUUAAAUCUACCACAGUUGUACUUAUAUUUUGGAUUAAAAGAAAUGCAGUCUUGAAUAAGAAACAAUUGCUUAGAUAGGAACUUCUGAAAUGCUGAGAUUUUAAGAUCCUAGUGAUCAUAAUAAUUUGAAAGGUGUGAAAAUGGAAAUACAUGCAUGAAAUGCCAUCCUGAAACAGCAAAGUCCAAAGACACAUCUUGUUUUUCUAAUAUCAGGCAAGCAAUUGAACAGACUCAGUGGAAAUAAAGGGCUUUUGCAAUAAAAUACUGUAUUCUUCAGAGUUUAUACAUGAGAAAUAAUAUUCUGAAGGUCUGUGGCCCUUGCAUAGCAUUAAAUGUCAUUCCAAGGUGAAAAGAAAAUUGCAUCUGAGGGCAAAUAGUUUCAUUAUUUCAGAAUUAUUUCAUUAUUUCAUAUUACUACAGUCAGUCUGCUUCCAAAUUUCAGUAACCAUUAAAGCCAUCUCAUCUCCACUGAAUCUGAAAAUGUUUUAGGUUUUGAUUGCCCUGGAGAAAAGUGAGAUAAGUUUUGGGAACAAAGAUGAUGUGUUAGGGUCGGCCACCUUGUAUCUCUGACAGAAGAACAUUUAUUUGUUUUUUUCUUCAGCUGCCUCAUAUAUGAGCUGGUUCAGGUGUCUGCAAAGUGGAAAGUUGUAAUACAUUUUUUAUAAAGAAAGAUGAGCAAAAGCAUCACAAAUUCUACUCACAAACAAAAGUCAUACAAAUACAGAAAAAAAAAAAAGGUGUUUUUCAGGUUAUGGUUCAAUUUUAUGCUACUGUAUUACUUCAGCCAGUUCUGGCACAAAAUACAUUCUGAACUCUAAUGAAAGACCAUGUCUGCUAUAAAAUUUUUUUUCUUAUUAUUUUAUUAUAAGUCUCACACUGUCUGGGAUUUGAUAUGCUGCAUUGCUGCUCUUAGACUUAUAAAAAUAGGCUGGAAAACAUGAGACCCAGAAGCUGAGACAGCUACAAAGCAAGUGAAACUUAUCCAUUAAUUAAUUUUUUUUUAACUGAAAAGUUAAAGAUGUUUUGCACUAUUGAUGUGAUAUUAUGGGAAAAAAGGUGUAUCAUUUUUUCAGGUAAACAAAAGAGUUCCAGACAAGAUUUUACUACUGACUUUUACUACUGUCUUGUCAAGACAGUAAGAGUAAUUUGUUUUCUGCCUGUUUGUGGUUGCCUGGACAUUUGGUCUAAGAAUAUCUUUAUAUUUUCAUCAUAGCAGAUGGAACUGAAAUGGGCUAUACAUUGGCUCCACCCAUCCCACUCCAUAUCCAGAGCAACAGAGGCAGAAGCAGGUGUCUGUCCUUACUGUUGAUACAAAUCCAAAGCAGUCUGCUGUUAAUAUCUCAGCGAAUAGUCUGCAUUAACAGAGCUUUUCCUGAUGGCAAAGAUACCUUACCAUUGUGUACACAAACCAAAGUCACCAAAAGGACUUAUCCUGUCACUGCUAAAUCAAAUUAACUAUUGCUAAGGUCAGAUCAAAAUGGUGUUUCACACAAGCUGUUGCACAGCCGUCCUGUGUGCCAGUAUAGGGAUACCGGCAAAGUAGAGAUACAACUUUGGACCAGAAUAAGAAAGAAAACGUUUUUAAUUCUUCAAAGUGCAGCACUGAAUUGUCCAGUAUUGGGUCUACACACUGAGGGGCUUAUCAUGGUGUUGAGAUAGCUAGAUAGAAGUGCAAGGUUUGGGUAAAGGGGGUGCAAAGUGUGAGACCAUAAAUAGGUAUAUAGGAAGAGCUGUUCUCUGCUUACUGCUGUAUGGUGCAAAGAGCUAUGAGCUAGUAUUGAUGGGACUAAUUCACUGUGCUCUGAGUCAACAUGAAUGUGUCAUCCUCAGGACUGCUGCCAAUAGUUCUGCCUUUAGAAACCCCAUAGAGCCUCAGCAACCUGGACUGUUGGCUGUGAGCAACAAGCCUCAUGUAAUGAUGGGUACAUGUUCAAAACUGAGAUGUGUGCAAAGGCACAUCACAACCUCCCCCUUCACACAACCCCCUAUACUGGCUGAUUGGAUUGUUCUUAGUUCAAAUUACGUUUUCCUUGCUUUGGACAAGGAGGGAUGAAAGUGAGUUUGGGGGAGAAGAGGAAAGUGAUCAUUAGCAUGAAGUAUGAUUGGUUUGCCUAUAUUUCUUUUGCACAAAGAAUGUGAAAUUUAUGGGUGGGUUUUGUCAUAUCCCUUGCUUCUGUAGCAGUGCUUAGAGGAUGUUUCCCAUGCUACAGGUCAGUUCUGCUCAGCCUUCAUUCCUUGUUCAUGCUAUUCUGCUUGCAGUGAUGGGAAAACUCUUCCUUCAACCUAGCAACACAGAGUGGUUGAAAGCAAAUUGUAUCCGGUUAUACGACAAGAGAUGGGAAGGUUUUGCCUGCACAGGUGGGUGGCUUCCUUUCUUCAGGAAGAUUUUUCUCCAUGCUUAUAUCUGAACAUAACAGUAAUUAUGAAGUUUUAGCCUUCUGAAAAGGAUUUUAAACACUGCUCUUCCUGCUGGGACCCUGUUCUUACCUUCAUUUAUAUUUUUGAAAGACAAUGCACAGAUAAUUAAUAAUCAACUUUCCAGUUGCAUUCCUGUUGAAAACAAUUCUAAUUCAAAAUUUUGCUAUAUGCAGAAGUUGACUGUCUCAGAGAUUCAGCUAGCACAAUGGAUUAUUUUUUUAGAUAAAAGUCAUUGCUUCUCAGUUAUGGCUGUGUACUGCAAGCAGGGAAUUACAUUAUACUUUACAAAACCCUAUUUUCCCCUCUCAGGUUCAUAUGCAACAGGAUUUUUUCCUUCAAUGAUAGUGAUGUUCUUCAAAGAAUAAGGUCAAAGUAAUGUAAAAUCAGGAUGUGACAAAGUUAUAUGCAACAUUUUCAUUUUUCACCACCGUCAUACAGCUAUUUCAUUCACAUUGGAUGCCAGCAAAAAUACUGUAUUUAAAUACAAAGCAAGUGCAUGAGUGAACUAUAAGAUUGAAUGAGUUUCUUAUCAGUGUUACUGAUAAGACUGGGAAUUUAAAUACAUACAGGUGUUCCUUAUCAUCUUUGCUGAGACAGACAAUGCACCCUUGACAGCUUUAAGCAUUUGGUGGCUGCAAAGCUGUUUCUUUGUUCACAAAGAUAUUGUGAAGAGGAAAACAUGCCCAGUAUCCAAACAAGAAAGCAGACAGAGCCAGUUUGUUGUCAGUCGUCCAGAAUCACAUUCCAGCAGGGUACUCUGAGCACCAUUAUGCUGCCACUUGUCCUCCUGGCACAUGUCAGGACAAGGUGUUUGCAAUCAAGGCAGCAGAUGGUUCUUUGGGUUGCCUAAAAUCAGGGUGAGCAUGACACAUCAUUUAUGAUUCUGCAGAGAACUAAAUAUUAGGCAUAGGCAUAGGGUAUUCAAGGUAUCCUGUAUUCCAUUAAUCCCUUCACACAGAGCAGUACCCCCAAGUUUCUGAAGGGUUUUUCUAUUAUUGUGCUUGCUAGUUUCGUAUCUGGUGAUGCAUAUGCAUUUAACCCAUCCAUUUAAACCCAAUUAAAGACAACUGUUUGGGGAAUAUUUCAAGUUUUGACUACACUGGUGAACAGCACAGCAUGAGCUGCCUUGAAAACAUCUGUGACUGCUAGGCCAACGAUUGAAUUGCCAACACUCAAUUCUUAGCCAAUUCAUUUCAUUCUGUUUUGCCAAGCUCCGGAGCAAAAGCAACACAGUUCUGAGCACUGAUGGCACAAUGGCUAAAACCCCCAAAAGUUUCAGCAUUGCAGAAAUUUCAUGACCCUGCUGCUGCUUGUAUCCCAUUUUCACAAUGGUAUUUCCAAAAUAAAGGAGAGAAAUAGGGAAGAAUACAGACCUUCAGUGUGCCUUCUGUGCCCCGUCAGCUUGAGUUGUACUGGGAAAUGUUUCCAAGUGUUAGACUGUUUCAUAUUUUAACACUCACUAUACAUUGGCUGAGAGCAUUCCACAGAGCAAUGAGCAAUGAUAUUAAGGGCUAGAGAACAUGUAUUCUCUUAGCUGAAUUGCUUGUUACAGCCAAAUGCAGAUACAGAGUGUGGACAUCAAUCACUGCACUUACAUUAAUGAUGUGAUGCUUCUGCAGUGGAUCAGAAUCUAUGCCUUAAAUAAUCUGCAAGUAGCAUUAAAUGGCUUUUAGCAUGCAUUAUCAGUGAAGUUCUGAGGGGGAGGCCAGUUAUCAGAACCUCACUCAGAUACAGCACAAAAGUCUUCUGAGGACAAAAGGGAGAAAGGAGUAAAGCAAGGAAGGAGUGGGAGGGAAUGGGAGAAGGUUUUCAGUUACUUUAUCUUCUGAGCUGAUGCCCGCUCUGUCUCCUACUGUGUAAGGUCCUCUUCACUUUGGAGUGAGGUGACCAAGAACACAAGGUUUACAAAACAAAUGAGAACAGAGAUUCGAAUAUACAUGGCCUGCAGUCAGUAGCAGAGAUUUAAUUCUUCUGUAGGGUGUUCCCUCUCUCCUGCCUCUGUUACCAGUUCAAUUAAUUUUUUGAUAUCUGUUCCUUGGGAAUGGUUUCUUUCAUGCCUAUGAAAAAUUUACCUCAUGAAUGCUGUACCUCAGCCUAUUGCCUGUUAUAUAUGGAAAUGAUGAGGAAGGAAAGCAGAAACACCUUGUUUUCUUCCUGAAAUAUACAUGUUCUUCAAAUUACCAAUACUGAGCUUUAAAAAAUGCUGAGGUUUUACCAAAAUAAACUAUUGCUAUAUUAACCCUUUCCCAGGUUUGUAACCUUUAGAAGUCACUUCUUCCAGUACAUUUGUAAAACAAAAGUCAUAAAAGUGAUGUACUAUGAGUAGAAGGUGAGAUUGUCAUGACUUCAUGAGCAAAACCACUGAGUAAGACAGGAAAAAAAGAUCAGAAAAGGUGGCAUUAGUGCCAGCUAGAGCAUCUUGGCAUUUCAUAUAGUGAAACCAAGUCAGUGAAAGACACACACAAACAAAUACCAGUUGCUUAAUUCUUCACCUCUGAUACCUUGUUAUAACAUCUAAAUGCACACACCCACCUAGAAGCAUGCCACAAGGUUUUCAGUGGUCUUUUAAAAAAAUCUGCCUUUGAACUUGUGCUGGUUUCAGCUGAGGUGGAGUUAACUUUAUUUGCAGCUUAUGGUAUGGGGCUGUGUUUUGAAUUUGUGCUGAACAUAGGGUUGGUAAUACAGAGGUGGUUUUGUUAUUGCUGGAUAGGGCUUACACAUUCAAGACAUUUUCUGAUUUUCAUUCUGCCACGUUGGUGAGGAGGUUGGGACUACAUGAAAGAUCGGGAAGAGACACAGCUGGGACAGGUGACCCAAACUGACCUAAGGGAUAUUCCAGAGCGUGUGGCAUCAUGCUCAGUGUAUAAAGAGGGAGGAAGAAGGAGGAGAAGGGGACAUUUGGAGUGAUGCUGUUUGUCUACCCAAGUCACCAUUACCCAUGAUGGAGCCCUGCUCUCCUGGAGAUGACUGAACGCUGGCCUGCUUGUGGGAAGCACUGAGUUAAUUCCUUGUUUUGCUUUACUUGUAUAUGUGGUUUUUGCUUUCUCCAUUAAACUGGCUUUCUCUCAA